This 466-nucleotide ribosomal RNA is filed under the name uncultured bacterium. Its description in RNAcentral is "bacterial SSU rRNA". It matches the Rfam family "Bacterial small subunit ribosomal RNA", at positions 791 to 1262 of the family's 1533-position model. The record is from RNAcentral.
UAGUCCACGCUGUAAACGAUGAUCACUCGUUGUUGGCAAUACAUCGUCAGCGACUGAGCGAAAGCAUUAAGUGAUCCACCUGGGGAGUACGUUCGCAAGAAUGAAACUCAAAGGAAUUGACGGGGGCCCGCACAAGCGGAGGAACAUGUGGUUUAAUUCGAUGAUACGCGAGGAACCUUACCUGGGCUUAAAUGCAUUGCAUCUUUUGAUGUUAUCUCUCGAAAGAGGGUUGAAAUUGCAAGGUGCUGCAUGGCUGUCGUCAGCUCGUGCCGUGAGGUGUCGGGUUAAGUCCCAUAACGAGCGCAACCCCUAUCAUUAGUUGCUAGCAGGUAAUGCUGAGGACUCUAAUGAGACUGCCAGCGUAAGCUGUGAGGAAGUGGGGAUGACGUCAAGUCAGCACGGCCCUUACGUCCAGGGCUACACACGUGUUACAAUGGCUAGUACAAAGGGCAGCUACAUGGCAACA